GACGAACGCUGGCGGCGUGCUUAACACAUGCAAGUCGAACGGUGAAGCUCUAGCUUGCUGGAGUGGAUCAGUGGCGAACGGGUGAGUAACACGUGAGCAACCUGCCCCUGACUCUGGAAUAAGCGCUGGAAACGGCGUCUAAUACUGGAUACGAGAAGGGUCCGCAUGGGCACUUUCUGGAAAGUUUUUCGGUUGGGGAUGGGCUCGCGGCCUAUCAGCUUGUUGGUGAGGUAAUGGCUCACCAAGGCGACGACGGGUAGCCGGCCUGAGAGGGCGACCGGCCACACUGGGACUGAGACACGGCCCAGACUCCUACGGGAGGCAGCAGUGGGGAAUAUUGCACAAUGGGCGAAAGCCUGAUGCAGCGACGCCGCGUGAGGGAUGACGGCCUUCGGGUUGUAAACCUCUUUCAGCAGGGAAGAAGCGAAAGUGACGGUACCUGCAGAAGAAGCACCGGCUAACUACGUG
This 468-nucleotide ribosomal RNA is filed under the name uncultured bacterium. RNAcentral describes it as "partial 16S ribosomal RNA". It matches the Rfam family "Bacterial small subunit ribosomal RNA", at positions 28 to 507 of the family's 1533-position model. The record is from RNAcentral.